RNAcentral lists this ribosomal RNA (651 nucleotides) under uncultured Polaromonas sp. RNAcentral's name for it is "bacterial SSU rRNA". It matches the Rfam family "Bacterial small subunit ribosomal RNA", at positions 9 to 653 of the family's 1533-position model. Lineage: Bacteria; Pseudomonadati; Pseudomonadota; Betaproteobacteria; Burkholderiales; Comamonadaceae. The record is from RNAcentral.
GAGUUUGAUCCUGGCUCAGAUUGAACGCUGGCGGCAUGCCUUACACAUGCAAGUCGAACGGCAGCACGGGAGCAAUCCUGGUGGCGAGUGGCGAACGGGUGAGUAAUAUAUCGGAACGUGCCCAGUCGUGGGGGAUAACGUAGAGAAAUUUACGCUAAUACCGCAUACGAUCUAAGGAUGAAAGCGGGGGAUUCGCAAGGACCUCGCGCGAUUGGAGCGGCUGAUAUCAGAUUAGGUUGUUGGUGAGGUAAAAGCUCACCAAGCCGACGAUCUGUAGCUGGUUUGAGAGAACGACCAGCCACACUGGGACUGAGACACGGCCCAGACUCCUACGGGAGGCAGCAGUGGGGAAUUUUGGACAAUGGGCGAAAGCCUGAUCCAGCAAUGCCGCGUGCAGGAAGAAGGCCUUCGGGUUGUAAACUGCUUUUGUACGGAACGAAAAGGUCUGCCCUAAUACGGCGGGCCCAUGACGGUACCGUAAGAAUAAGCACCGGCUAACUACGUGCCAGCAGCCGCGGUAAUACGUAGGGUGCGAGCGUUAAUCGGAAUUACUGGGCGUAAAGCGUGCGCAGGCGGUUAUGUAAGACAGUUGUGAAAUCCCCGGGCUCAACCUGGGAAUUGCAUCUGUGACUGCAUAGCUAGAGUACGGUA